This 560-nucleotide ribosomal RNA is filed under the name uncultured Sebacinales. Its description in RNAcentral is "eukaryotic LSU rRNA". It matches the Rfam family "Eukaryotic large subunit ribosomal RNA", at positions 81 to 618 of the family's 3401-position model. The record is from RNAcentral. Lineage: Eukaryota; Fungi; Basidiomycota; Agaricomycetes; Sebacinales.
UAGUAACGGCGAGUGAAGAGGGAAAAGCUCAAAUUUUGAAUCUGGUGUCUUUGGCGCCCGAGUUGUAAUCUAGAGAAGUGUUUUCUGCCUCGGACCACACAUAAAUUCCCUGGAAUGGGGUGUCAUAGAGGGUGAGAAUCCCGUUUGUGGUGUGGGCUACCUUGACUCUGUGAUACACUCUCAACGAGUCGAGUUGUUUGGGAAUGCAGCUCAAAAUGGGUGGUAAAUUCCAUCUAAAGCUAAAUAUUGGCGAGAGACCGAUAGCGAACAAGUACCGUGAGGGAAAGAUGAAAAGCACUUUGGAAAGAGAGUGAAACAGUACGUGAAAUUGUUGAAAGGGAAGCGUUUGAAGUCAGUCACAUCGGUUGGAAUUCAGCCUGGCUUUGCCUGGUGUACUUUCUGGCAGAUGGGUCAGCGUCAAUUUUGACUGAGGGAAAAAGACUUGAGGAAUGUGGCUGUCUUUGGGCAGUGUUAUAGCCUCUUGUUGUAUGUCUCAGUUGGGAUUGAGGACCGCAGCACGCCUUAUGGCCGGGGUUCGCGCCCUCGGAACGUGCUUAGGA